Molecule: ribosomal RNA, 500 nt
Filed under: Epicoccum nigrum
Lineage: Eukaryota; Fungi; Ascomycota; Dothideomycetes; Pleosporales; Didymellaceae
Description: eukaryotic LSU rRNA
Rfam family: 5.8S ribosomal RNA (bases 142-292)
Source: RNAcentral
AAAAUUCUGGAGACUUCGGUCUGCUACCUCUUACCCAUGUCUUUUGAGUACCUUCGUUUCCUCGGCGGGUCCGCCCGCCGGUUGGACAACAUUCAAACCCUUUGCAGUUGCAAUCAGCGUCUGAAAAAACAUAAUAGUUACAACUUUCAACACGUAUCUUUUGGUUCUGGCUUUAAUACACACGCAGCGAAAUGCGAUAAGUAUGUGAUAGUGAAUUUUCGUUGAAUCUUCAAUCUUUUCACCUCUUUUGCGCCCCUUGGUUUUCCCAUGGGGCAUGCCUGUUCGAGCGUCUUUUGUACCUUCAAGCUCUGCUUGGUGUUGGGUGUUUUGUCUCGCCUCUGCGUGUAGACUCGCCUUAAAACAAUUGGCAGCCGGCGUAUUGAUUUCGGAGCGCAGUACAUCUCGCGCUUUGCACUCAUAACGACGACGUCCAAAAGUACAUUUUUACACUCUUGACCUCGGAUCAGGGAGGGAUACCCGCUGAACUUAAGCAUAUCAUA